This 244-nucleotide ribosomal RNA is filed under the name uncultured bacterium. Its description in RNAcentral is "partial 16S ribosomal RNA". It matches the Rfam family "Bacterial small subunit ribosomal RNA", at positions 528 to 772 of the family's 1533-position model. The record is from RNAcentral.
GAGGAUGCGAGCGUUAUCCGGAUUUAUUGGGUUUAAAGGGUGCGUAGGCGGGAUGUUAAGUCAGCGGUAAAAUUGAGGGGCUCAACCCCUUCGAGCCGUUGAAACUGGCAUUCUUGAGUGAAUGAGAAGUAUGCGGAAUGCGUGGUGUAGCGGUGAAAUGCAUAGAUAUCACGCAGAACUCCGAUUGCGAAGGCAGCAUACCGGCAUUCAACUGACGCUGAAGCACGAAAGCGUGGGGAUCAAA